CCUGGGUGCCUGACUGGGGUCACUCCAUGUGGGCACUGUAGCUUUUGUCUGCAUCUGGACAGCUGGG
Molecule: small RNA, 67 nt
Filed under: Microtus ochrogaster (prairie vole)
Lineage: Eukaryota; Metazoa; Chordata; Mammalia; Rodentia; Cricetidae
Description: Six3os1 conserved region 1 (ENSMOCG00000008710.1)
Rfam family: Six3os1 conserved region 1
Source: RNAcentral